UAUCAGUCUAAAAUGUGUGUAUUGGUAUGAUAAUUAUCAUCAUCAUCAUAUCUUAAGACUUCUUACUUUUGCAUUGGCUCUCAGUCCAUCAAGGUCAAGGAACAGCUUCUGAAAAAAGUACACUUCAGGUCUUUGCAAUAGCUCAGAUUGAGAGCACAGCACAGCACCUUGGGAAAUCCUGUCAGAUCAAGGUUUGCUGUCACACCUGGAUGCACAGCUGGAGUCACUUCCUCUUCAUCAGUGGAGGAACUUUAAUCCUGUGUUAGUAGGAAUUCUGUGGUUAGAUCUUUUUUGCAUUGGUGAACUGGGUUAAUCUAACUUGUUUUAGAUGGGAUAUUUGGUAGGGUUUUUUCUUUUUUUUACAUCAGAAGGGGUUUGUUAUUUUGACCUUGGAGACCCUGGAGUACUUAUGGUGUCUUGAAGCCCAAUGACUGUGUUGAAUCUUUGCAGCCAAUUGCUUCGUCAGAAGGCAGACUACACAAAGCCUGAUAUCUGAUAUUUAUCUAUACCAGGGGUAGGCAACCUUUCUGAUGAUGAGUGCCAUCUAAAGUUUCCUCAGAAGUCAAUGUGCCAUAUAAUUGCAUUGGCAAUAAAUUUAAUAAUGCUCUAUAUGAACAGUUACACACUAUAUAGAACAACUUUAUAGAAUUAUAUUUGUUCGCAGAUGUUGGCAGCUAUCAGUGAAACGUUAUCAGCUAUUUUAAAACAAAAAAAGACUUUUUAUCCAUAACAAGAACUCCAUAACAGCAAAUGAACUGUACAACAGAAAAUGCAAAUGCUAUUUAUGGUCUCCUCACAACAAUGAUAAGAAAAAUAAACUGUACAAUAUGGCAUGUUUGUUAAUACAGGGACACACAUGUUAAUGUGAUCUCUGGUCUCCCACUCAGAGACACAGGUCUCCGAGUGUCCAGCAUUCAGACAGCUACCUGAGGAUACUCAUGUGAGAGAAAAUCUGCUCACACAGAUAUGUAGAGCCAAAAACUGUCAAUAAGGCCUCUGCAAUGUUCUGAAGACAGUUAAACUUGCCAGGUAGUGAUGUCCAGCAGGUGAAAAUGCAAGCUCCAUGAACAUGCACAGCUGUGGAUUCCAUCUGCAUCUGUUGUUCUGCAAA
This 1111-nucleotide long non-coding RNA is filed under the name Oreochromis niloticus (Nile tilapia). Its description in RNAcentral is "lncRNA (ENSONIG00000039287.1)". Lineage: Eukaryota; Metazoa; Chordata; Actinopteri; Cichliformes; Cichlidae. The record is from RNAcentral.